Molecule: ribosomal RNA, 1088 nt
Filed under: Bacillus subtilis
Lineage: Bacteria; Bacillati; Bacillota; Bacilli; Caryophanales; Bacillaceae
Description: bacterial SSU rRNA
Rfam family: Bacterial small subunit ribosomal RNA
Source: RNAcentral
UAUACUGCAGUCGAGCGGAAGAUGGGAGCUUGCUCCCUGAUGUUAGCGGCGGACGGGUGAGUAACACGUGGGUAACCUGCCUGUAAGACUGGGAUAACUCCGGGAAACCGGGGCUAAUACCGGAUGGUUGUUUGAACCGCAUGGUUCAGACAUAAAAGGUGGCUUCGGCUACCACUUACAGAUGGACCCGCGGCGCAUUAGCUAGUUGGUGAGGUAACGGCUCACCAAGGCGACGAUGCGUAGCCGACCUGAGAGGGUGAUCGGCCACACUGGGACUGAGACACGGCCCAGACUCCUACGGGAGGCAGCAGUAGGGAAUCUUCCGCAAUGGACGAAAGUCUGACGGAGCAACGCCGCGUGAGUGAUGAAGGUUUUCGGAUCGUAAAGCUCUGUUGUUAGGGAAGAACAAGUGCCGUUCAAAUAGGGCGGCACCUUGACGGUACCUAACCAGAAAGCCACGGCUAACUACGUGCCAGCAGCCGCGGUAAUACGUAGGUGGCAAGCGUUGUCCGGAAUUAUUGGGCGUAAAGGGCUCGCAGGCGGUUUCUUAAGUCUGAUGUGAAAGCCCCCGGCUCAACCGGGGAGGGUCAUUGGAAACUGGGGAACUUGAGUGCAGAAAAGGAAAGUGGAAUUCCACGUGUAGCGGUGAAAUGCGUAGAGAUGUGGAGGAACACCAGUGGCGAAGGCGACUCUCUGGUCUGUAACUGACGCUGAGGAGCGAAAGCGUGGGGAGCGAACAGGAUUAGAUACCCUGGUAGUCCACGCCGUAAACGAUGAGUGCUAAGUGUUAGGGGGUUUCCGCCCCUUAGUGCUGCAGCUAACGCAUUAAGCACUCCGCCUGGGGAGUACGGUCGCAAGACUGAAACUCAAAGGAAUUGACGGGGGCCCGCACAAGCGGUGGAGCAUGUGGUUUAAUUCAAGCAACGCGAAGAACCUUACCAGCUUGACAUCCUCUGACAACCUAGAGAUAGGACUUCCCUUCGGGGGAGAGACAGGUGGGCAUGGUUCCCCACUCCCGUCCGGGAUGUUGGGUUAAUCCCCAACCACGCCACCUUGAUUAUUUGCCACCAUUAGUUGGACCCUAAGGA